Molecule: ribosomal RNA, 343 nt
Filed under: uncultured bacterium
Lineage: Bacteria
Description: bacterial SSU rRNA
Rfam family: Bacterial small subunit ribosomal RNA
Source: RNAcentral
CAAUAGUCAAAAGACUUGAUGGUACCACUGGAGGAAGCACCGGCUAACUCCGUGCCAGCAGCCGCGGUAAUACGGAGGGUGCAAGCGUUGUUCGGAUUUACUGGGCGUAAAGAGCGUGUAGGCGGUUUAGCAAGUCAGAUGUGAAAGCCCUGGGCUCAACCCGGGAAGUGCAUUUGAAACUGCUUCACUAGAGUAUGGGAGAGGAGAUUGGAAUUCCUGGUGUAGAGGUGANAUUCGUAAAUAUCAGGAGGAACACCCGUGGCGAAGGCGAUUCUCUGGACCAAUACUGACGCUGAGACGCGAAAGCGUGGGGAGCAAACAGGAUUAGAUACCNUGGUAGUCC